GUUAUUUUGGCAGAAUAGUGCAAUAGAUUUAGGAUCUUUUUAUGUAAUUUACUUACAAAUAAUA
This 64-nucleotide transfer RNA is filed under the name Tomicus yunnanensis. RNAcentral's name for it is "tRNA-Leu". The record is from RNAcentral. Lineage: Eukaryota; Metazoa; Arthropoda; Insecta; Coleoptera; Curculionidae.